ACAAAUGUAGACAUUGCUAUAAACAACAUACACAAAUCUCUUACGAAACGUUAUCAUAUUCAAUGCUGCUUUAUUUAUAAUCUAUCCGUAAGGGCAAAGUUACUUUCAAAUUUCAAUCAAGUUCUCCAAAUUAAGUACUCUCUCUAACCCUUUAUUCGUAUUUAAUUAGCUUUUGAUUAUUUCCCGGGCUAUAUCGAGAGUUUUCCCUAUUUUCUCUUAGUACGUCCUCAUUUUUUCUUACAACAAUUUAAAAAGGGAAAAAAACAAAUAACAUAAAAUUAAAAUUCCUCUAUUUGUAUCAUAUAUUUGCUUAGUAAACUUAAUAAUAUACUAAGCAAGCAAUACGUUCGAACUCUUCUUGUUUUAUUAGGCUAAGCAUUUAAUUUGCACUACUACGUACGUAUUAGUUAUUUCUGCUUCAUCUUCUUAUUUUCAGAAGACUUGUUGAGGAAAAAAUGCCGAGCAAGAGUUACAGAGUGUCUCCAGUGCCAAUGACUUUGUUUGCACACUUGUUGUUCAUAGCUAUCACAACACUG
RNAcentral lists this long non-coding RNA (536 nucleotides) under Nicotiana tabacum (common tobacco). Its description in RNAcentral is "long non-coding RNA (NTAB_LNC005423)". Lineage: Eukaryota; Viridiplantae; Streptophyta; Magnoliopsida; Solanales; Solanaceae. The record is from RNAcentral.